CCUACGGGGGGCAGCAGUCGAGAAUCAUUCACAAUGGGGGAAACCCUGACGCAGCAACGCCGCGUGCGGGACGAAGGCCCUCGGGCUGUAAACCGCUUUCAGCAGGGAAGACAUCGACGGUACCUGCAGAAGAAGCUUCGGCUAACUACGUGCCAGCAGCCGCGGUAAUACGUAGGGGGCGAGCGUUAUCCGGAUUCAUUGGGCGUAAAGCGCGCGUAGGCGGCCGCCUAAGCGGAACCUCUAACCCCGGGGCUCAACCUCGGGCCGGGUUCCGGACUGGGCGGCUCGAGUGCGGUAGAGGAGAG
RNAcentral lists this ribosomal RNA (305 nucleotides) under uncultured bacterium. RNAcentral's name for it is "bacterial SSU rRNA". It matches the Rfam family "Bacterial small subunit ribosomal RNA", at positions 338 to 661 of the family's 1533-position model. The record is from RNAcentral.